RNAcentral lists this ribosomal RNA (403 nucleotides) under uncultured bacterium. RNAcentral's name for it is "bacterial SSU rRNA". It matches the Rfam family "Bacterial small subunit ribosomal RNA", at positions 355 to 775 of the family's 1533-position model. The record is from RNAcentral.
UGGGGAAUAUUGGACAAUGGGCGCAAGCCUGAUCCAGCCAUGCCGCGUGAGUGAUGAAGGCCUUAGGGUUGUAAAGCUCUUUCACCGGUGAAGAUAAUGACGGUAACCGGAGAAGAAGCCCCGGCUAACUUCGUGCCAGCAGCCGCGGUAAUACGAAGGGGGCUAGCGUUGUUCGGAUUUACUGGGCGUAAAGCGCACGUAGGCGGAUCGAUCAGUCAGGGGUGAAAUCCCAGGGCUCAACCCUGGAACUGCCUUUGAUACUGUCGAUCUGGAGUAUGGAAGAGGUGAGUGGAAUUCCGAGUGUAGAGGUGAAAUUCGUAGAUAUUCGGAGGAACACCAGUGGCGAAGGCGGCUCACUGGUCCAUUACUGACGCUGAGGUGCGAAAGCGUGGGGAGCAAACAG